RNAcentral lists this ribosomal RNA (440 nucleotides) under uncultured bacterium. RNAcentral describes it as "partial 16S ribosomal RNA". It matches the Rfam family "Bacterial small subunit ribosomal RNA", at positions 339 to 795 of the family's 1533-position model. The record is from RNAcentral.
CUACGGGAGGCAGCAGUCGGGAAUAUUGCGCAAUGGAGGAAACUCUGACGCAGUGACGCCGCGUAUAGGAAGAAGGUUUUCGGAUUGUAAACUAUUGUCGUUAGGGAAGAUAAAAGACAGUACCUAAGGAGGAAGCUCCGGCUAACUACGUGCCAGCAGCCGCGGUAAUACGUAGGGAGCAAGCGUUAUCCGGAUUUAUUGGGUGUAAAGGGUGCGUAGACGGGAAGACAAGUUAGUUGUGAAAUCCCUCGGCUUAACUGAGGAACUGCAACUAAAACUAUUUUUCUUGAGUGUUGGAGAGGAAAGUGGAAUUCCUAGUGUAGCGGUGAAAUGCGUAGAUAUUAGGAGGAACACCGGUGGCGAAGGCGACUUUCUGGACAAUAACUGACGUUGAGGCACGAAAGUGUGGGGAGCAAACAGGAUUAGAUACCCGAGUAGUC